GGGUUUAUAUGCAAAAACAAAAAACAAACUGAUAUUGUAUGGACAGCAAAGGAAUUAAAGCGAAUGUAAGUUGAAUUUGGAUGGUUUUUGGCAUGGCCCCAUCUUAAAACUAUUCCCUUUUCCUGUGUAGACUGUUGAGCUUGAAUUGACUUGUUCUAGGUUCCAGUAACCUGUUUUUGUUUUUUACAACAUGGACUUUGUACUUUGGGCUUGUGAUAGCUCUUGAAGAUUGGUGCUUUUAAAAACCCUUUUUAGAUGAUAGCCAGAAUUCAACGUGCAUUUUCAGAGGCAGAGAUGAUUAUCCUGGUUUUUGAAGUUUUGAGUGAGCUCAUUUUAUUGUGUAGCAAUAAAAUGCCGACAUUGGCCACUUAACUACACAUGAAAAGUGAAUCAAAUGUUACUUCUGUUCAGAAGGGAUUGCCCAGCUUUUUAGUGGAAGAGUAAGUGGAGUUGUGAUUGUAACUCAAGAAGCUACAGUUUGCAUCUGGAGUGUACAUCUGGAAUAUUUAAUGUAGCCACUCUGUGUGGUUAUUAAUGAAGAAAUGCCAAUGUAUCAUCCUCAAUAAAAGCAUGAGAUUUAGUAUGAAACAUCUGAUUUUGAACCCUGUCUCCUCCACUUCAUAGCUGUGGGCCAGUUACUUUAGUUUAUCUCUAAGUCUCAGCAUCCUCAUCUUUAAAAUUAAGAAUAGUGAUACUGUCUUCCAGAUUGGUGAGGUUAAAUGAACUAGUAAUCCAUGUGAAGAACUCAGCACAGUGCCUGACACAUAAGUACUCAGUAAAAGUAGUUUUUUUUUUUUUUUUUUUUUUUUUUUUUUUGCUUUUUAGGGCCACACCCAUGGCAUAUGGAGGUUCCCAGGCUAGGGGUCCAAUCAGAGCUGUAGCCGCUGGCCUAUGCCACAGCCACAGCAAUGCCAGAUUCAAGCUGCAUCUGCCACCUACACCACAGCUCAUGGCAAUGUUGGAUCCUUAACCCACUAAGCCAGGGAUUGAACCUGAGUCCUCAUGAAUACUAGUCGAGUUUGUUAACUGAUGAGCCACAACGGGAACUCCUCAACAUAGUUUUAAGUGACUACACAGAAAGAUCCUAGCAAAUGGAGCAAAACCACUCUUAGAUCUGUUGUCCUUUCUCCAUCAAAUAAUGUAACCUGAAACAGGCAACACCAGGCCCUUGUAAUAGGUCACUGAGUAAUGUGAUUCUGCUGUUUUAACUGAUAUUUAACUGUUCAUGAUGAGCCAGGAAAUCUCUCAUUUAUAAUAUAAGAAGCUGGGAUUAUGAACAGAAAGAACAUUUACUUAUACUCAAGGGUUAAUGGUAAUUUUUGCAAUGCUGAAUCUACUUCUGUAGUAACUCAUGAGUGUGUCCUAUGAAAAGAAAUAUUUACAUUUUAACAAAGGAAACAUUAAUGAACUGUUUUUCUUCCUGUAAAAUAGGGAAUUUUAUAUUGUUUUUAGGUCCUGAAUGUAAUACAGUAUAACACAUUAGCAUUUGAACUGUAAAAUUCAGUGGUAAAAAUUUUAGAAUUAUAUCAACUUAGAUUAUAUGGAUCUUCUGUUUUAAAGAUAUUACUUUUUAUUUUUUGUAGUAGUUACUCUGUCUUAAGAAUAGCCACAUCUGUUGUGGUAUAAUAAAGCUUUUUAGAGCCAGUUGAAAUUUUAUGAAGUUCUUUUUUUAACAAAGUUUUAAAGAAGCCUAUGUAAUCAUACUAAUGAAAAACAGACCUCUGACUUGAAAUAAGCCAGUCAAACCUUGGUAAUAAAAGAAAAUUAAAACAGCAAGAUACCAGAUUUUGCCUAAUUAGCAAAAAAAAAAAAAAAAA
This 1817-nucleotide long non-coding RNA is filed under the name Sus scrofa (pig). RNAcentral's name for it is "lncRNA (ENSSSCG00055028699.1)". The record is from RNAcentral. Lineage: Eukaryota; Metazoa; Chordata; Mammalia; Artiodactyla; Suidae.